This 475-nucleotide ribosomal RNA is filed under the name Polydora hoplura. RNAcentral describes it as "partial 16S ribosomal RNA". It matches the Rfam family "Bacterial large subunit ribosomal RNA", at positions 1817 to 2597 of the family's 2925-position model. The record is from RNAcentral. Lineage: Eukaryota; Metazoa; Annelida; Polychaeta; Spionida; Spionidae.
CGCCUCUAGCUAUUAAUAUUAGAGGUCCAUUCUGCCCUAUGCCCUACGGGGUAAAUGGCCGCGGUAGCCUGACCGUGCUAAGGUAGCAUAAUCAUUUGCCGUUUAAUUGAUGGCUGGAAUGAAUGAAUAUACGAGAGCUCAACUGUCUCAUUUUUACAAAUAUAAAUUGACCCUCAAGUGAAGAGACUUGAAUUCUUAAAAAAGACGAAAAGACCCUAUAGAGCUUUACCUGAAAUCUAUAUCAUAUAUAAUAAAGGUUUAGUUGGGGCAACUAGAGAGCACCUAAAACCUCUCUUCAAAUUUUCUAAUAACGAUCCGUUUUUACGAUAAGUAGAAAAAGCUACCUUAGGGAUAACAGGCUAAUCCUCUUUAAGAGACCAUAUUGACAAGAGGGGUUGGCACCUCGAUGUUGGCUCAAGGUUACAGUUUGAUGCAGCAGUCAAACAAAGUAGGUUUGUUCACCCUUUAAAUCCUU